UGGGGAAUAUUGGACAAUGGAGGCAACUCUGAUCCAGCAAUUCUGUGUGUGUGAAGAAGGUUUUAGGACUGUAAAACACUUUUAGUAGGGAAGAAAGAAAUGACGGUACCUACAGAAGAAGCGACGGCUAAAUACGUGCCAGCAGCCGCGGUAAUACGUAUGUCGCGAGCGUUAUCCGGAAUUAUUGGGCUUAAAGGGCAUCUAGGCGGUUAAACAAGUUGAAGGUGAAAACCUGUGGCUCAACCAUAGGCUUGCCUACAAAACUGUAUAACUAGAGAGGAGACGAGGUAGGCGGAAUGUGUGGUGUAGCGGUGAAAUGCAUAGAUAUCACACAGAACUCCGAUUGCGAAGGCAGCUUACCAGGCUUUAUCUGACACUUAGGCACGACAGCGUGGGGAUCAAACAGG
This 407-nucleotide ribosomal RNA is filed under the name Verrucomicrobiota bacterium. RNAcentral describes it as "Verrucomicrobia bacterium partial 16S ribosomal RNA". It matches the Rfam family "Bacterial small subunit ribosomal RNA", at positions 355 to 776 of the family's 1533-position model. The record is from RNAcentral. Lineage: Bacteria; Pseudomonadati; Verrucomicrobiota.